This 468-nucleotide ribosomal RNA is filed under the name uncultured bacterium. RNAcentral describes it as "partial 16S ribosomal RNA". It matches the Rfam family "Bacterial small subunit ribosomal RNA", at positions 28 to 507 of the family's 1533-position model. The record is from RNAcentral.
GACGAACGCUGGCGGCGUGCUUAACACAUGCAAGUCGAACGGAAAGGCCCUGCUUUUGUGGGGUGCUCGAGUGGCGAACGGGUGAGUAACACGUGGGUAACCUGCCCUUGACUUUGGGAUAACUUCAGGAAACUGGGGCUAAUACCGGAUAGGAGCUCCUGCUGCAUGGUGGGGGUUGGAAAGGUUCGGCGGUUGGGGAUGGACUCGCGGCUUAUCAGCUUGUUGGUGGGGUAGUGGCUUACCAAGGCUUUGACGGGUAGCCGGCCUGAGAGGGUGACCGGCCACAUUGGGACUGAGAUACGGCCCAGACUCCUACGGGAGGCAGCAGUGGGGAAUAUUGCACAAUGGGCGGAAGCCUGAUGCAGCAACGCCGCGUGCGGGAUGACGGCCUUCGGGUUGUAAACCGCUUUCGCCUGUGACGAAGCGUGAGUGACGGUAAUGGGUAAAGAAGCACCGGCUAACUACGUG